RNAcentral lists this ribosomal RNA (496 nucleotides) under uncultured bacterium. RNAcentral's name for it is "partial 16S ribosomal RNA". It matches the Rfam family "Bacterial small subunit ribosomal RNA", at positions 29 to 507 of the family's 1533-position model. The record is from RNAcentral.
AUGAACGCUGGCGGCGUGCCUCAUCCAUGCAAGUCGCGCGAACAGACGAGGAGCUUGCUCCUUUGACGUUAGCGGCGGACGGGUGAGUAACACGUGGGUAACCUACCUAUAAGGCUGGGAUAACUUCGGGAAACCGGAGCUAAUACCGGAUAAUAUUUCGAACCGCAUGGUUCGAUAGUGAAAGAUGGCUUUGCUAUCACUUAUAGAUGGACCUGCGCCGUAUUAGCUAGUUGGUAAGGUAACGGCUUACCAAGGCAACGAUACGUAGCCGACCUGAGAGGGUGAUCGGCCACACUGGAACUGAGACACGGUCCAGACUCCUACGGGAGGCAGCAGUAGGGAAUCUUCCGCAAUGGGCGAAAGCCUGACGGAGCAACGCCGCGUGAGUGAUGAAGGUCUUCGGAUCGUAAAACUCUGUUAUUAGGGAAGAACAAACGUGUAAGUAACUGUGCACGUCUUGACGGUACCUAAUCAGAAAGCCACGGCUAACUACGUG